GAUGAAGAACGCAGCGAAAUGCGAUAAGUAAUGUGAAUUGCAGAAUUCAGUGAAUCAUCGAAUCUUUGAACGCACCUUGCGCUCCUUGGUAUUCCGAGGAGCAUGCCUGUUUGAGUGUCAUGAACACCUCAACUCUUUAUGGUUUUCCAUGAUGAGCUUGGACUCUGGGGGUUUUGCUGGCUUACAGUCGGCUCCUCUAAAAUGAAUCAGCUUACCAGUGUUUGGUGGGUAUCAUGGGUGUGAUAACUAUCUACGCUUGUGGUUUUUCCACCAGGUAACCUUCAGCAGUGGAGGUUCGCUGGAGCUCAUAGAUGUCUCUCCUCAGUGAGGACAGCCCUUUGAAUGUUUGAUCUCAAAUCAGGUAGGACUACCCGCUGAACUUAAGCAUAUCAAUAAGCGAGGA
This 403-nucleotide unclassified non-coding RNA is filed under the name soil metagenome. RNAcentral describes it as "partial contains 5.8S ribosomal RNA, internal transcribed spacer 2, and large subunit ribosomal RNA". The stretch from base 1 to 120 matches the Rfam family "5.8S ribosomal RNA", at positions 35 to 154 of the family's 154-position model. The record is from RNAcentral.